Long non-coding RNA from Stegodyphus dumicola, 7633 nucleotides. The record is from RefSeq and is a predicted model, not a curated record. NCBI's taxonomy places the organism in Eukaryota, Metazoa, Arthropoda, Arachnida, Araneae, Eresidae.
UAAGAAAAUAUGUAUUCAAAGGGAAAAUAUUCUUUAUUAUUUUAUUGAGAAGCUUUUCUCCUGUUACUUAAAUAUAUAUAUAUAUAUAUAUAUAUAUAUAUAUAUAUAUAGUUGCCGAUCAUUUUUACAAGACACAUGUCAAGAGAAUGAACUAGAAGAAGCAACAGUGAAGCUGGCAUCUGUUAAGAGUGAAGAUACCUGCCAAAAGAAUGAAGUAAUAAAAACACCAAAGUAGAGUUACAAAGUUUACACCCUGGGAGGUUAAGGUGGUUUGUUGACAAAUGUCUGCCUGUUCUUUCAACAUAAACAAAUUUAGUGGUAUAUUAUUACAUAAGAAAAUGCAGUGAAGUACUGAAAAAGUCUGCUCCAACAUGUAAUAUAUCUUCUAAAUUCUGCGGCAUUGAAAGAAAUGGUUUAUUUUUAUCUAUUAUUAAUAAAUAUUUGCCAAAUAUCACUUUUUACUGUUUUUUCAAUUAGUAUCAGUGUUGAAAAAGAGAAGAUGCCACAACUCCUUUAUUUUAUCUCUGGAAACGAAAUAACAUUUACACAUUCACCAUAAAGCAGCUCAUUCAUCAAAAUGUUAUUCUUAAUAGCGGCUGUAAAAAAUGCUGCAUCUGUUAAGGGAAAGAUACUUGCAGCAACCCUAUUGCAUCUUAUUAAACAGUCAUUUGUUUGUUACAUUUAUUUGUACUGUGAUCGGUUGCAUAGCAUAUAUUUUAUUAAGGGUUCAAAGAUGAGAAAAUGUCAAGGCCACCUGAAAAAACAUCCAAAAGGGAACAAAAAAUCUCAAGUUCAAGCAAAUUUGGUGAACUCAAGAACUUGAUUUAGGAAUAAAGACCCAGAAUUUGGAAGGUUUAGGAGGUCAGAAAUUGUUGGUACAUCUAUAUCUGCAUCAAAUGUGAUUGAUUUCCUGAAUAACAUUUUUUUGAAACAUUUUAUCAUCAUUUGGUAUAAUUUAUAUACCAAAUACCCCAAAGUUUAAUUCAACGUGAGUCCCUCGAGGUAAGCAGACGUAUCAUGAUUGAGCUCCUCUCCCUCUCCGUCACCGAUGCCGGACGCAUGAGCCAGCCCCGUAGAUUUAAUGGAUACUACGGAUAUCAACGAUUCUUUGCCUUCAACCUCAACUGCUCCUGUUCCUGCGGAACCACAACAAUCUACAAUAGCGUCUACUUAUGAUGAUCGAAUUGUAGACAAUCUCCUCAUGGAAAUCAAGCAGCUAUACGCUUUGAAAUCCAGAUUCUCCGAACUUGAAGCCACGCUGACUAGAAGCAAGAGAGCCACUCCUUUGUGCAACUUCGACUUAAAGCAAGUGGAGGCCGAGAGUCAGAUCAAAACAGUGGACUGCUGCCUGCAGUAGAGAUCUGCUUAACAAAUCUCUAGAUGAAUUAUACAGAACAGGAAGUGUGUGCUAUAUACAUUGCAUUGUAAGUGACUUCUGCUUGACAAAAAUGCACUACUUGCAUUCCUGUGCAGUAGCAAAAAAUAAAUAAAUAAAUAAAUAGGCAAACAGUUAUGGGAAAAUCAGCAUGAACUAUAUAAUAUUAGGGAUGUUCGAAUGAAAAGGUGUAAAAUGACACUAUGGAUAUAUUGAAGGCUUUAUUCACAAGUAAUCAGCAGAGGGCUGAGCACACUUAUCCCACUGUUUCAGGAGCUGAAGGAUUCCCUCAUGCUAGAAUUCCUGUAGCUGUGACAAGAAGUAGUUCCAAGUUGAAGCACUUCCCUUUGAGAUGUCAAGUCAUAUCAGGUCAUUCACCGUGUCUCUUCUGUUAGAAAGAUUGCACUUUCCAGUCUUUAAAUCUAAAGCCAGUGGAUAUAAUACAGGUAGCAAACAUGAUCUUCAAUCAAUUGAUGAUAUUGUAGUUGAAAGUGUAAGUUGUAAAUCAUAAUCACUCCAGGAUGGAAUAAUAGAAGAAAUUUUACGAACUGAGUUCCAUAUCAAGAUUUGCCAUUAGGCCACUAUCUCUAAUGUAGCUCAUGUCAUAAUUCAAUCCAAAAAGUUAGUGGAGCAUACAUACAGUUACAAAUUUGAUGAAAAUAUGUAUUCUUGAACGUUAAAUAUAAUAGACUUUUGGCAUCAUAUCAAUACAUUUGCAGCAGUUCACUGUGCCCUGUAACAACUGUUGAGUCUGACAUGGAAUCAAAUACCCUGAAUAACUUAAGUGUUUUAGGAGCUCUAACAACAGGCAAUGGGUUUCCUCAAAAAUAAUAAAAACUCAGUAUUAUGAACGUCAAAUAUAUGUUACAGUACAUGUUUUUCUCUUGUGAAUUACUGGUCAUUGAAUUUUAUGUGAGGGACUCGAUGUAGAAUGCCAUGGCAGAAGGAAAAAAUUGGCAAAGGUACAUGGAGACAAAUAUAAUGAUAUUUUUUGUUGUAUAAUAGCUGUAACGGUUGGUGAAUGGUGCAAGAGAAGUUGUGGGAAUAUUUCAGUAGGCACAUCAUGUAUUAUAGGCAAGGCCACUCAAAAGAUAUUAUUUAUUGGUGUCAGAAAUAAAGUGUGUCUUAUCUUUCAGUCAGUCAAACAAGGCAAAAUAAAAGCAAAAGAGCAAUUUUCUUCGAAGAACUGAAACAAUUCUUCGCUGGGAAUGGAAAGCUAUAUGAUAAUAGAAGGCUUUUAGUUCUCAGAAGAAUUGCAUGUUAUUCAUUUGUAGGCCGAGUUUUAAAAUUUGACUGCGCAAAUCAUGCUGUGCAAAGAUAUGGACGAGCACUAGAGAAACUGUUGUAUAGCAGCAUCAGGUUUUCAGCAGCAAAUGGCAUUGAAGCCAAAAAAAUAAAUAAAUAAAUAAAUAAAUAAGAGCCAUAUGUCGAAACUAACACAAAGUGCAGGGGCAGCUAUAAAAAAAACUUGCUGUUUCAAACCAUACAGAACCAACUCGGAAGAUAAUAGAUACAUUAGUACAGGAGUUGCAAAAUUUGCCAAGCAUUCAUGAUGCUUGGCAAAGUAAGAUGGUUUUUCUGCAAAUGAAAGUUUGCUGAUCCAGAUGAAUCUGUUUUUGAGAUGAGUAUUUCAUUUUGAAUUUGAGUAUUUUACAAACAUAGCUGUUAUGGCAUUUCAAAGUCCUGCACAACAGUGGCAAAGGGCACUUUGAAGAAGUUUCCAAACACCUUUAGAUUUUUUUAAAUUCCUGGGGGAAAAAAGUGAAAUUUGAAGAGAAUAAAAGUUGCAGAUUAUUUAAUCUUAAAGAAAAGAAAAGAAUUCAGAGUUUUUUUUUUAACAUUAAAAGUGGUGGAGCACAGGAGCUGUUUCUGCGGAUGUACCUGAAAGCACUCAAACCUACACAUCCUAGCCUAAGCAAAUUAAAAACCAAAAAUUGUAUUUGAUUUAUAACAAAUAAAAACAAUCAAGUUUUAGAUGCUGAAAAACGAAUGAUGUUUGUUCUUUGAAACUGUUUUUGCCAGCUAUCAUCAGAUAGAAGAAAAUGACUCAAUUUUGUUAACAUUUUAAAAUUUAGUAGUAUAUAUUAGAGAAAAUCGGUUGGUUCUAUGCCACAGGGAACUGUUCGUCCUGUUCGUGACGUCCCCCCAGAUUGCAAUAAGCGGUGUCAGGCACAUGUCGCAUCCUUGGCUUUGCGAGCUGCUUUGAAAGUAACUGGAGUCAGCCUGGAACUAUUCAUGGACCUGGAUAAACAUUUAUUUAAUUGAACUGGGUAUUCAUGAUGGCAUUUCGAUGAUAUUAUAUUGACUGACUGUUAGUAACAACAAAUACCUUCCUAACUAGAAUCCAACGUAGCCUUCCAACUAUAUCAUCUAUUUAGAUGAGAAUAAUCUUUAUGGCUGGGUGAUAAGCCAACCUCUUCCCAUGCAUGGGUUUGAAUGAGUGCAUGAACCCAUUGAUUAUAUGAAUAUCUCAGAUGAUGCUGAUGAGGGCUGCUUCCUAGAAGUGGAUUUAGAGUAUCCAGCAGAGCUGCACAACUUCACAAUGAUUACCCACAUCCACUGGAGCAAAUAUUGUCUGAUUAUUCCCGAAAUAUAGCAAAUAAGCUCCAGCUCAUCGUUGGCAACAGUGUGAAGUUAGUUCCGAAUCUUUUCUCAAAGCAGCAUUAUGUCAUCCAUUAAAAAAAUUAUACUUGUCCUUGGGUCUCAAAGUCAUACAAAUCCAUAGGGUGCUUAAAUUCAAGCAAUCUCCAUGGCUAAAAUGUUAUAUUUUAUUCAAUACUGAGCAACAGAAUCGGGCCAAAACAAGCUUUGAAAAAAGAUUUUUUCAAGCUUCUAAACAAUGCUGUUUUCAGAAAAACGAUGGAGAAUCUUAGAAAAGGGCCCAAAUCGAUCUACUACUACUGAUUAGUUACUGAUGAAAAGAGAGCUAAGAAACUUGUGCCUUCUCCAAGUUUCCAAGCAUUCCAUCAAAUAACAGAAGAACUAGUAGCUGUAGGAUGAAAAAAAAAUUAUUUGAUGUUGAACUGUCCUCUGUUCAGGUUUUUCAAUUGUAGACAAUUGCUGCCUAGAUGGUGUAGUGGUUAAUGAUCCUGACUGCCGUAGCCAUGGGCUCAGGUUCGAAUCCUGGAAAAGGCAUGGUUGUAACUGUCCAUCCCUUCAUAGGAGGUAAUGGUGACCAACUAUUAGGUGCUUUCAUAAUGAAAUGGCUACCACUUCCAGCCCUUGUAGUGACACAAGGCCAAUGGCUGUUAAAUAAAGUGCGUGGCCAUUAUUUAAAAAAAAAAAAAAAAAAAGAAACUUAUACAAUUAUGUUUUCACUCUUUCCAUUAUGAGUACAUAAACUCAAAUAUGUAGCUAAUUCCACGCUUCUUUUUACCAAUACUGAUAGUCUUUAUUUGUUGGAAACCAAAGACAUUUAUGUGGAUAUAAAGGCUUAUGUAGCUUUUGGAUACAUUUGGCUAUCCACCAGAUCACCCUCUUUUAGUACGAGCAAAAAAGUUCUCUGGAAGAUGAAAGAUGAAUUAGCUGGUGAAAUCUCUCAUGAGUUUGUAGGACUAAAACCUACAAUGUUCAGCCUACUUGGUAGUUGCAUGGAAAAGAAGACAGCCAGUGGAGUGACCAAAUGUAUUAUAAGACAUCAUAUUCAUCAUGCAGAUAAUAAGCAGUGCCUUCUUUAUCACAGUCGUGAACUCACAUCCAGUCAAUGCAUAACUAGCAGAUGCCAUGAAUUACAAACUGUAUAUUACGCCAAGUCGAUACUGUGUCCUUUUGAUACUAAGAGAUGUCACACUUGCUUAUGGACAUUAUCAAAUAGAGGUGCGAAAUUUAUAACACAUUUACUCAUAUUUCUCUGUACAUUACUAUAUUUUCUUCAAUGUAAAUAGAGAGGUAAAAAUUGACACACAUACUUAGAAUGACAUGGGGUUUUAUUAGAACAAAAAAAAGUUCAAAAAAUGUCUGACGGAUGGCGCUGGACAGCAAAACAUCAGUGACUGCACAUGAAAAUCGUGUAUAAAAGGAGCUGUAAUGAGAAUCAGAUGCACCAGCAGUCACAGCAUGUUGACGUUACCUGAAAAGGCGCUUUUAGUGAAGCUGUAUUAUCAGAAUGGGGAAUGUGCUAGUUCAGCAUUACGAUCCUAUCAGGUAAAGGUCCGUUGACAAAUCCAGGUGUGGCGAGAAUGAUUUCGAAGUUCGAGGCCACGGGUUGUUUACAAGAUAGACCCCGUAGUGGCCGACCGAGCACAAGGCGUAAUGCUGCUGAGACAGUUCAGGAAGAAAUGGAGACUGUAGCGGGUUCGUCUAUGCACAGGGAAGUCAGCGCUCGUGCAGUCGCACGUCGCACCGGCAUUCCAUACACUACUGUUUGGUUGGCACUUAGGCAUACCCUCUGAUGCUAUCCUUACAAAAUCCAUCGGCAUCAUGAACUGUUAUCUGGCGAUUUAGUGAAGUGGAUGGCAUUUGCGGUGUGGGCAUUUCAAAAGAUGGUGGAAGAUGACGAUUGGUUGAGUAAUGUGUUGUGGACCGAGGAAGCUCAUUUCACGCUCCGAGGGUCUGUCAAGGCCCACAACUGCAGAAUUUGGGCUACAGAAAAUCCUAGAACUGUCGUGGAAACUCCAUUGCACGACGAGAAAGUCACAGUAUGGAUUGGAUUUACCACAUCUACUGUUAUCGGGCCUUUUUUCUUCGAGGAAAUACAUGAUUCUGGUUUUGUAACUGCUACCGUGACGGAUGAGAGGUACGCCAAUAUGUUACAGAAUCGCAUCGCCCCCAGCCUGGCUGAUAAACACCUGCUGGAAUGUACGAUUUUUAUGCAGGAUGGCGCUCCACCCCAUAUUGUUAAACCCGUGAAAGAUCUCUUGUGCACGUCGUUUGGUGAUGAUCGUGUGCUCAGCCGCCACUUUCGUCAUGCUUAGCCUCCCAGGUCCUUAGACCUCAGUCUGUGCGAUUAUUGGCUUUGGGGUUACCUUAAGUCGCAAGUGUAUCGUGAUCGAUACAUGUAUCGUGAUCGUGAUCUAGGGAAGCUGAAAGACAACAUCUGACGCCAAUGCCUCACCAUAACUCCGGACAUGCUUUACAGUGCUGUUCACAACAUUAUUCCACGACUACAGCUGUUGUUGAGGAAUGAUGGUGAACAUAUUGAGCAUUUCCUGUAAAGAACAUCAUCUUUGCUUUGUCUUAAUUUGUUAUGCUAAUUAUUGCUUUUCUGAUCAGAUUGUUGCUUAUCUAAUUAUUGCUUUCCUAAUAAAAACCCAUGUUAUUCUAAGUAUGUGUGUCAAUUUUUACCUCUCUAUCUACAUUAUUCUGUGAUUAAGUUUUCAAAUUUAUACUGACUUUUUGAUCACCCGGUACAUAUCCUUUUGAAAUAUUUAUAUAAUCAUGUACAUAUUUUAAAAUGUUUAUACAUAAUCUUCCUUGAUGAAUUUAGUUUAUAGUGUAUUAAUUUAAAAUUAUUUGUACAUAAUUUUUUGGAAAAUUAGAAAGCAAAUUAUUCUAAAUAAUAUCAAAUUUCCUAAGUGUUUAAUAAAAGUGACAUUUAUUCAUGUAUGUAUGCUUUUUCUUAAAAGCGUAUUACAAGGUUAUCAAUUUAUUAGUGAAAUCUGAGUUAUUAUUGAACUGUUAGUCAAUUAUUUCAUAAAAUUGAACUAACUAUAACUAUAAAUAGAAUUAAUUUUUUAAUAAAACUUAAGUUGACAUGGAAGUCUUAAAAUUAAAGCAUCCUUUCACAGUGUUAGUUGCCAAACCUAGGAGCAGCAGAAAGACUGUGUUCAUUAAAAAAUUAAUUGAACAUCAUAUGAUGACUCUGUUUCUUUCUAAAAUUAUUUGGUUCUAUGGUACUUAUCAAAGUGAGAUUUAAAUUUUUUUGCAUUGUUCGUUUAGAAAGAUAUGUGUGAAAGGUCUAGGGGGGGGAGAAAUUUUUUCAAGAUUUUACCUGAAGAAGUGAAAAGAAAGAAGUGACCAGUUUGCAUGAUGUAAACUGUUUCCAUUUCCAUGAACAUUUUGUUAUAUGUGUUUGUAUUGAAAAUUUGAAUCUGAAUCAGCAGUUGCAUUGCAUUAUAAUAUCCCCUGUAAUCUAUGCAUAAAAGCAGCUGUCAAAUCAGCAGCUAUGUGAACAACAGUAUUAAAUUUUUAAGAAACCCUUCAGUGUUAUACAUUCUGAAGAUAGAAAUUAUUGUUUUUAUAAACUCAUUCAGUCUUAGUUACCCAAGCUUUAUCACUUAAUGUAAAAAUAAGAAAGGAAAUAAAAUAUUAUAAUACAAA